GAAAGAGGCUUUGUGAGGAAAUGCAGGUUCUGAAAGAAGACUGAGCAGAAGUUGAGCUGAAAGAGGAAGGCUACUUUCCAGUCCUCCUCACACUCGGCUGAUUAACAAACUGUUUUUCUCUCCGUUCACGAUGAAGCUUUUUGGAGCUCUGGUCCUGUUCAUGACUCUGUCAGCAGCAUGUGGACUGAGAUGCUACACAUGCACGGCCACCGACCCUAAAUCCUGCACUGACACCAAAUCUUGUCCUGUUCUCUUCAACCGUUGUUUCUCUCUCAAGAUAGACGGUAAGUUGUUUAUUCACAUUAAAAGUUUCAAAAGCUUAUAUUUCACACAUCAAAAUCAACCAUCAAACCUGAUACAACAUGCUGCUGUAGUGGCUAUUAAACAUGUCAUGAUAUGUUUCAGUAAUUAGUUUUCUAAGUGUUCCCGUUGUGUUUUUCAGGUUAUAACAUGGUUACCAAGGGCUGCCAACACAGCAUAACAUGUGUAGCUGCCAUAGCUUGCUGUGAAGGUAGCUUGUGUAACAGUGCCAUACCAACAGCUCCCUGUGCCAUCCUCCUGCUGGUAUCCUCAGCCGUCAUCAUGCUCUUUCUCUGAGGCUCUGGGACUUUCUUAUUCGUAUACUGUACGUUUUCCUGAUCCAACUUGUACAACUUAAGAAGAAUAAACAACUUCCAUAUUAAACUGCACUGCAAAUCCUCUAUGUCUAAGUCAAUUAGAUCA
RNAcentral lists this long non-coding RNA (723 nucleotides) under Cottoperca gobio. RNAcentral's name for it is "lncRNA (ENSCGOG00000005657.1)". Lineage: Eukaryota; Metazoa; Chordata; Actinopteri; Perciformes; Bovichtidae. The record is from RNAcentral.